UAGGGAAUUUUGCGCAAUGGGCGAAAGCCUGACGCAGCAACGCCGCGUGCGGGAGGAAGGCCCUCGGGUUGUAAACCGCUUUCAGCAGGAACGAAAAUGACGGUACCUGCAGAAGAAGCCCCGGCCAACUACGUGCCAGCAGCCGCGGUGAUACGUAGGGGGCGAGCGUUGUCCGGAUUUAUUGGGCGUAAAGAGCUCGUAGGCGGUUCGGUAAGUCAGGUGUUAAAACUCCAGGCUCAACUUGGAGAGGCCACCUGAUACUGCCAUGACUAGAGUUCGGUAGAGGAGCACGGAAUUCCUGGUGUAGCGGUGAAAUGCGCAGAUAUCAGGAGGAACACCAGCGGCGAAGGCGGUGCUCUGGGCCGACACUGACGCUGAGGAGCGAAAGCGUGGGUAGCGAACAGGAUUAGAUACCCCAGUUAGUCCCUGAGCGGGCUGGCAAGGCGCAU
RNAcentral lists this ribosomal RNA (449 nucleotides) under uncultured bacterium. RNAcentral describes it as "bacterial SSU rRNA". It matches the Rfam family "Bacterial small subunit ribosomal RNA", at positions 355 to 825 of the family's 1533-position model. The record is from RNAcentral.